CCUGCCAGCCAAAAACCAAAAACCCAAACCAAACGUGAGGACAGCACAGCUUCCUGCCCCACUGUACAGCAAAUCAUUUCACAAAGAACAGGAAUCAACACGGAAUUUGUUCUGUCCCCCAGGAAUCAGCAGCACCACCUCCCCUGCUGAGGGUGGAGGGAGGACUCUGCUGCUCCAUCAAAGGGAAGAUAAAGUCACCCCGUCAAGAAAAUGCAAUUUCUCCUCCCUUUGCUCUGACAGGAAUCCAAAAUGACAGCACUGUUCUAGAAGCUUUUCUCCAUGACACACUUUACAGUGAGCAACAAUUUCUUGUUUAAUAAUUAAAACCAUUUCCUGGGUAAUCAGAACAGUCCUCUGGUAUCUGAAAAAAAUAACUUCAUUUCAUCAAUGAGAGCACGUGGACAAAGUUAAAUCCCCUCUCCAAAGCCUCUCCAAAACCUAAAAUCUCCUGAUGUCAGGAAAUGUCCUUUUCCUACACCUUUCCCAUAGGUAGGAGUACUUGCAGGAGUAGAAACAUUAAGGAAGACAAAAAAAAUGCAAAUAAGCAAGAGACUAAAUAAAAAACAUCAGGGAGAGUAUUUUUUAUACAAUGGAAAAGAUUUUACUGGAGUGGACCUGCCACACAUCCCUGCAAAACUCCUGAGGUUAUCCCACUGCUCUUAGCUGAGAGCAAAACAGGUUAAUUGCACCAGAUCUGGGUUUGGAAAGAGUGAUGGUUUGUGACACAACACUAAAAGGAGGUAGCAAAUGUAUGAUGUUUCAUUGGCAAUAAUCUCAUUUGAAUAUUUGCAUAAUGAGGGGGGAUUAACUGGGUUAAUGACAGUGACUGCCCCAGUCACACCAUCCCAAAUCCAUGGGGAUCUCUGCCCAGCAUGGCAGGAAGGAUGGAAAUUUGGGAGAACAGGCAGCUGGUGGAAACCUCAGUUCUUGUGCUUGCUGAUUCAUGCAAGGAGGGAAGAGAAAAGGAACAAAAACGCGCCAGCAUGGUGAAAACAAAAGGCACCAUCUGGCUCUGGGGAGAUCUGGGCUCAUCCAAACAGCACCAGGACACACAGACACCCAGCCAAGCUCUGGUGACUGGGAGCAACAUUCCAGCCCUGGGUUUUGAUCCCACAUUGCUGAGGGAUCAAACCACCCAGGCCACAAACACUGCUCCAGCACCUGACCCCACAGCCCAGGGGAUGGGGGGCCUCCAGCAAGGACAGAGCAGCGCUGGCAGAGAAAAAGAGAGUUUGGAAAGUCAACUCAAAUCCUUGGAUGAAUGGUGAAUCAAACAUGGAGUGAGGACACACAGAGAACUCGAGAUUGGGUCAAGUUGGGGCUGUCUGAGCCUCACUGCAAAACAAAAUCAGGGCAGCAGUGACACAGACAACACUGGGCUAUAGAAGCUACUGCUAUUAUUUUGCAUUUCUUCCUCUUUUUUAAAUUAAUAUUUCAUAAUAGUUCUGCUGUUUUAAUCAUAAAGCUCAUGGUUAAUUCUAUUUAUUUUCUCAGAUAACUGAUUUUUCAUUACUUCACCCAAAUCAAUUCAAAACACCUGAUUACUGAGCAAGGCAAAAGUCUCCAACAGCCCCCUGACAUCAGGAUGAGACAGGUGAAACUCAGAAACAGAAAUGCUGAGCUGGGCUUCUCUACCAGGUGAUUUGUCCACCUUCCCCCGUAAGAAAACUGCCCAGCAGAUGUCACUUUAGCAAGGAAGGUUUGUGCAGUUACCUGCUGAGAUUGCUGCUGUGGUGGAGAGGAUGUAGCCAAUGCUGGAGAUCUGAGCUGAGUCAUAGAGCUGGGAGGCUUGAGCUAAAAACCUGCAACACAAUCACAGGCAACAGGGGCUGAUUGGGAAGGAUCCUUUUUUUGGAAACACCUUUCAAAAGUGAUGCAUACAUUUAAGGAAAUUCAUUCUUUUUCUCACUGAGCAGCAGCAAGCCUUGGAAUGAAUAAAAAGGACAGAAGAGGGAGGUUUGUGGCUGCACUGAAAUUACUGCCCCAACCUCAGGGCCAGAGUGUCCCUCAUAUUUUGAGAAGCCUUUUACCCCUGCUGCUACCAGCUUUUUUAUGUUAUUGCAAGUACAAAGGGGAAAAAACCCUAAAAAUAGACACAGUGAUCAACAACAGUGAUCCUGCACUUUGAUUUUAGGCAGACAGAUACUGCAUGUGACUGACCACCAUUCCAGUCCUAAAAUUGUUUGGCAAAUCCUUGGCUGGUGGCAUUAAACCACAUGGCAGUGUCACUGUGGAAAAGGAAUGACCCCCCAGGCUCCUGGACAGAUCACAGGAAAGGAAGGAUAAUUCUCUACAUUUUAAGGGGGAUUUUUGGCAUGGUACCAAAGAGCUCCCCACCCACACCCCAGAGAAUGGCAGAGAAGGAGAGGAGUCCUUACGUGGC
Molecule: long non-coding RNA, 2383 nt
Organism: Passer domesticus (house sparrow)
Lineage: Eukaryota; Metazoa; Chordata; Aves; Passeriformes; Passeridae
Exons: 3
Source: RefSeq, a predicted model, not a curated record